UUUCCGUAGGUGAACCUGCGGAAGGAUCAUUAACACUUUUUAUGGUUCGAAUGGUUUUGGGGGUUUUUCCUUCAAAAUCAAUUCAAUCCUAUUCUACCCAAAUAUUGAAGCGCGAGUGGGGAAAGAGAGCGUGGUUUUUUUCCUUUUUGGAAAACGACGAUCGAUUUCUCCCCCUUUUUUCUCUCUUUUUUUUUCCCAUUUAACCCCAAAACAAAACCUUUUUUCUAACCACAUGCGAUUGACAAUUCUUAAAAACGAAAAAGUUGUUUGAAAAGAACAACAAAACAGCCAAAUAACUCUUAGCAACGGAUAUCUUGGCUCUC
RNAcentral lists this unclassified non-coding RNA (323 nucleotides) under soil metagenome. RNAcentral's name for it is "partial contains small subunit ribosomal RNA, internal transcribed spacer 1, and 5.8S ribosomal RNA". The record is from RNAcentral.